UACGUAGGUGGCAAGCGUUGUUCGGAAUCACUGGGCAUAAAGCGUUCGUAGGCGGUUUGGUAAGUUGGAUGUGAAAGCCCUCGGCUCAACCGGGGAAUUGCGUCCAAAACUGCCUGACUUGAGGGCCGGAGGGGAGAGUGGAAUUCCUGGUGGAGCGGUGAAAUGCGUAGAUAUCAGGAGGAACGCCGGUGGCGAAAGCGACUCUCUGGACGGUUUCUGACGCUGAGGGACGAAAGCUAGGGGAGCGAACGGG
This 253-nucleotide unclassified non-coding RNA is filed under the name uncultured Planctomycetota bacterium. RNAcentral describes it as "uncultured planctomycete contains 16S-23S intergenic spacer region". It matches the Rfam family "Bacterial small subunit ribosomal RNA", at positions 524 to 776 of the family's 1533-position model. Lineage: Bacteria; Pseudomonadati; Planctomycetota. The record is from RNAcentral.